UGGGGAAUAUUGCGCAAUGGGCGAAAGCCUGACGCAGCAACGCCGCGUGCGGGAUGACGGCCUUCGGGUUGUAAACCGCUUUCAGCAGGGACGAAACUGACGGUACCUGCAGAAGAAGCACCGGCUAACUACGUGCCAGCAGCCGCGGUGAUACGUAGGGUGCGAGCGUUGUCCGGAAUUAUUGGGCGUAAAGAGCUCGUAGGCGGUCUGUCGCGUCGGAAGUGAAAACUCGGGGCUCAACCCCGAGCCUGCUUUCGAUACGGGCAGACUUGAGGAAUGUAGGGGAGAACGGAAUUCCUGGUGGAGCGGUGGAAUGCGCAGAUAUCAGGAGGAACACCAGUGGCGAAGGCGGUUCUCUGGACAUUAACUGACGCUGAGGAGCGAAAGCGUGGGGAGCAAA
This 400-nucleotide ribosomal RNA is filed under the name uncultured bacterium. Its description in RNAcentral is "bacterial SSU rRNA". It matches the Rfam family "Bacterial small subunit ribosomal RNA", at positions 355 to 772 of the family's 1533-position model. The record is from RNAcentral.